This is a long non-coding RNA of Gadus chalcogrammus (walleye pollock), 3763 nucleotides long. RefSeq lists it as uncharacterized. The transcript has 4 exons. The record is from RefSeq and is a predicted model, not a curated record. NCBI's taxonomy places the organism in Eukaryota, Metazoa, Chordata, Actinopteri, Gadiformes, Gadidae.
AUGACAACACAUAACCGGCGUUUUCAGAAAUCUCCACUUUGUCCGGAGUUUUUAGAAAUGAUCGUUUUCUGUGAUAAAAACCGCGUGGAAAUAUCUGCGUUUUACCUUCGUGUAAACGGGGCCUUAACCUGCAUCAUUCCCCGUUGCACAUGUUCUGUUAGGAUGUGUUUGCAUCCUUUACGGGGUCUUAAUUAGGAAUCAACAACAUAGCCUAUACAUUUUGGCUUUGAAAGAAACAACGUCCGCAAGUUUAUGGUGAAUAGCUGUGUACACAUAAUGCAGGACAGUAGGUCGAAAAGUAACCACAUUUCUACAUUUUCUGUGGGAAAUUACCUUGUCACCUUUUAAUCUCUUUAUGGUUUCUGCUUUAAUUCCACUGUCCUGUAAAAAACUUAGCAAGGCUUCAAAUUCUCUCUCUCCAUUGCAGUUAGAAAUCAUGAAGUUCUGGCUAGCAAUGAACUGUUACCACGAAUUAUUAAACUGUGGCCACAACAUAAUUAUCUUGUUCCCACAAAUUAUUAAUCUGUGGCCACAAAUUAAUUAUCUCGUUCCCAGAAUUUAUUAAAUUGUCGCCACAGAUUUAAGUCAUGCAAACCUUUUUUUCUCAGAAAAAAAUCCUAAAAACGAUCCACCCCACUCCGGAAGCCAAUGUUAAGUAGUAUACCUAUGCAACAUUAAAGGAGGCUAAUUGUGAUAUUUUAAAGUUAUAUACCUCUUUGGGAUGCUAAUAUAGCAUGUUUCCAGGCUACAAUACUAGAAAAAUAACUAAUCUUUCUCUUGCUGUCAGUUCCUUCAUCCAUAGUUUUCAUGCUGUCCCAAUCAUUUAUUAAAUCUGGUCUGCUCUGAUUGCAACUGUAGCAUAUUCUUGAAGAAAGUUGUCCAAUCCCGGGUUGCUUUUAACUCACUUUAUUCGUUAUAAAGUCAGCAUGUUUCGGUAUGGUAACUGAAGCUUAAGGGAGGGAAUUGUAUCUAACUCGUGUGAGAGGAAAAUACCGUGAUCUACUUCAAGCCCCCGGGCUUACGCCUCGUUUCCACAUACGUAUGUUUUUCGUAUCCGUGCUUCCGUAAAUUUACGGAAGGAGUCGCUAGUGUUUUACGUACGGGCAUGAAUUUAUUUACGGACAAAAGAUGUUAGGAGGAAACCGAUGGAUUGCUUACUCCGGGUAGGAAAUGAGUCGCCCAAGUGAAGGAGUUCAAGUACCUCGGGGUCUUGCUCGCGAGUGAGGGUACUAUGGAGCGUGAGAUUGGCCGGAGAAUCGGAGCAGCGGGGGCGGUAUUGCGUUCGCUUUACCGCACCGUUGUAACGAAAAGAGAGCUGAGCCGCAAGGCAAAGCUCUCGAUCUACCGGUCGAUCUUCGUUCCUAUCCUCACCUAUGGUCAUGAGGGCUGGGUGAUGACCGAAAGGACGAGAUUGCGGGUACAAGCGGCCGAGACGAGUUUUCUGCUCCUUUACUUAGAAAGGAGUCAGCUGAGGUGGUUCGGGCAUCUGGUAAGGAUGCCCACUGGGCGCCUUCCUUGGGAGGUGUUUCAGGCACGUCCAGUGGGGAGGAGACCUUGGGGAAGACCCAGGACUAGGUGGAGAGAUUAUAUCUCAACACUGGCCUGGGAACGCCUCGGGAUCCCCCCGUCAGAGCUGGUCAAUGUGGCCCGGGAAAGGGAAGUCACGGGCCCCCUGCUUGAGCUGCUCCCCCCGCGACCCGACCCCGGAUAAGCGGAUGAGGAUGAGGAUGAGGAUGAGGAUUUUUUCAUGGGAUUUAAUUAAUCAAAAAGAACGAGAAAGAAUUAAGAUUUGUGUGAUAUGUGAUAGUAUUUUUGUUAUUUGUUUUUUGGUGUGGACAUAUGACUACUGUCAUCUUUUAUUCCACAGAGGCACCAAGGCACCUGCCUGUGAGGAAAAAGACACAGAUAAACUGCUCCUACCACUCUCGUCUAGAGACUUUCCCCUUCAGACGAGUUGUAAAAGAAAGAGUGAGAAAUGGCAAAGAAGAAAUGUUGGUUGACUGGCAGCCCUGUCCAGUAUGUGGUAAGGAGUGGGCCCAUUCCUGGCAACCGAAGGAACUUCUUCAAUGAAUGAAUUAAUCGUUUUUAGGUUUCAACAAUAAAUGGACGUCGGAUUUCCCGAGUCCGGACUGAGAUCCUGGGUCACGUCUUUACUUAAAAAAAGAUUAACAUUUUUGGUUUUACUUCUCCAUGCAUCAUCUUAUUUAAAAACAAAAUGUGAUAGUGUUAGUUGAUGAAAGGUAAAAGCUAAAGAAUAUGAGUAAAAUAACCAUAAAUACAGCAUGAUUAUACUUGCAAUUUACCUUUUAUAAUUUACUUGCAAUCACAUUGCAUUGUUUCACUUUCUCAGGUGGAUUACUUUAAUGAAUCAACAUCCGUUAUUUCUUUCACCCAGAUCAUACCGUAUACUUUACUACUUUAUAUGUUUACAUUUUAUGUACAUCAAAGUGGACUACAUAUUUGUGGUCGAUUAUUAUUUGUUUUAGCUUUUUAAAAAUAUAAGUAAUUUUUUUAUAUAACACAUUAUGUGAAUGUUGCUAAUGAUUAUGUCAUUGCUUCAUGCAAAGGGCCACUAGUUUCAUCCACAGCAGUGGUACACUUCAUUCAGGUUUGCCAAUGUCUUUAUACAGAGAACGAAAUGUAAGUAUCAGCAUUUCUGAAAUGUGUACCUGUGUAUUGAUGGAAUAUACAGUACAUACUGCUCUACAGAGUUGUACAAUUAGUAGCUUUUGAUCCAAUCCAAUAAUUAUUUUCCUAAUACAUAACAGAAAUUGUCUGACUGCCCUCAGUUUACUUAAUGAGUAUUUGCCUCGAUAGGCCCAUCUUGAUUUGUCCAUCAGUAUUUGUAGGUUAGGAUACAUUGAUAUGGUAGCAUGAUUGACCUGGCCUGAGAAAGGUCAGAGCAAAUAUCUACAGUGAUCUGACCUGACCAACACAACCAAAGCAACACUGACACAAAAAUAAACGAAGAAAGGCUUCUGGACAAGAAAGAGUUUCUUAGGCUGAAUACAAUACAUGACUCCAAGCCUGGAGAAAAUGAAGGUGUGCAGAAAAAUGUAGUGAUAUUGAAUGUCAAAGUACACCUUACUAUUGUCAGCUUACUGUUACGUUAAACUGUUCUCAGAAAAGGCGGUUAUAUGCUAUAGACCAGUGGUUUUCAAACUGUGGGGCGCGCCCCCCCUGGGGGGCGCCAGAGUUCUUCAGGGGGGGCGCGACGUGAGAAAAAAAUAAACCCGAAGAAAAACCUGAAAGUCGAUGAUUCAAAUCAUCAAUCGUACUUCAACUGUAGAAGUAACCUAACUAAAUCAAUUUUCAACCGUUUAUCUUCGUGCAAACCAUUUAACAAAUCUGCACACUUGUAUCUUCAAUAAUAUCUAAACAGAAUUUCGAUAUCAUUUACAAUUUCUUCAGAAUCACAGUUUUAGUUUCAUACCGCUUCGUUUUCAGCUGUUUUCAUUGAAGACGUCAGCCCAUUCUGAUACACCUACUUCUAAACAUCGUAACUCAUUAAUUUUUCAACCGUUUACCAUCGUUCAAACCAUUGAACAAAUCUACACACUUGUAUCUUCAAUACUAUCCAAACGGAAUUUUGAUAGCAUUUAUACUUUUUUCAGAAUCACAGUUUUAGUUUCAAACCGGCAUCGUUUUCAGUUGCUUAUAAUAAUUUAGGUCACCAUAGCAACGCCGGUAAACAAACCCCGCCGAAUAGUCGAAUCUCUGGACUGAAAAAGCUGAUCUGAUUCGACUCUGAAAAUUCAGAGUC